Molecule: unclassified non-coding RNA, 648 nt
Filed under: Hevea brasiliensis (rubber tree)
Lineage: Eukaryota; Viridiplantae; Streptophyta; Magnoliopsida; Malpighiales; Euphorbiaceae
Source: RNAcentral
AAAUUCACAGGCUGGUCCUUGUUAUUUCCGCCUCGUUGAAGCUCAUCCCAUGUUCACCUUAAUUUCUGUAUCGCUUUCUCUCCAGCUGCUGUCAUAAUUCCUUUUGGGCAAAGAGCAGAGAAACAUAUAACUGAUACCAUAUUCGGGUUUCUUUAUUUUGUGAUGAGCAGCGCAAUUAGCUUCCCGGUUCUUAAUCUGUAGUGAGAUGAAGAGAGAAGAUAAAGAAGAAAAUUGGCAGAUGGAGCAUUACAUGAACUGGGCACAAGCUAUAGCCACAGCUUGGUGUUUCAUGCUAUUGGUAGGUCUCAUAUGUUGCUGUCUCAGCACUAAACCUCGCCAACACGGUGAUAUCAACAGCGGCACCUGUAGCUGCUCUUGUGACGGUGGCUAUGCAGUCUGAUCAUUAAUCCUUAUCAUUUCUUCUUCCACUCAAAGUUCAGUUUCUCUUUUUCUUUCUGCACAUAUACUGCUUAAUUAAGCUAUAUUUGUUUGUACAUAUACAGAACAAGAGCUUUUUGAGAGGUAUUUAAGUUAUUUGCUUUUAUUCUUUCAUUAUUUUGUUCUUUUUUGUGUAAUUUAACUGAUUCAUUCAAGAAGCUCAAUGUAUCGUUUUGGAUUUGUUUCGGAAAUGAUAUUGAAGAAUUGAGG